RNAcentral lists this unclassified non-coding RNA (21 nucleotides) under Mus musculus (house mouse). RNAcentral's name for it is "oocyte_clustered_small_RNA7167". Lineage: Eukaryota; Metazoa; Chordata; Mammalia; Rodentia; Muridae. The record is from RNAcentral.
UGCUGCAAAGUUUAGGUGGAA